RNAcentral lists this long non-coding RNA (5228 nucleotides) under Daphnia magna. RNAcentral's name for it is "uncharacterized LOC116933568, transcript variant X14". The record is from RNAcentral. Lineage: Eukaryota; Metazoa; Arthropoda; Branchiopoda; Diplostraca; Daphniidae.
UGCUAAUAUGGACUAUGGGCAACACUCAACAGUCUGCGAUGAACUGCCAUGAGUCUAUAUUGGAACUGUGAGCAUUCAAUGUUGAAUAACGUUUUCUGUUUCUCGGAUGAUUUACGUGCUGUAACAGACGGUAGAAGCCCUUGAAACCGAAUCUUUGUUGCAAAAAGGGCCCUUUUUCUCUGUUCUCACUAAAGAAUUUGUUUUACUAGUCCCACUUUAUGCGAAAAAGCAUGUUCCUAUGUCAAAUAAGUGUUGAAAUUUUUUUAAUUAGCACAUGAGUUGUCAACCUAAGCAAGAUUUGCCAGUCCAAAUACUUCUACUACUAUUGCCUUACAAUGCAUAAAGCAUGUUGACUGUUCUUUUUUUUAGGAAGUACAACCUACUUUUGAUGUUUUAAGUUCUUUGUCUUUGAGCAUAUUAUUGCCAGAAUUUCAUGCAAGAGAAUUUGGGUUUUGUAUUACUUGUGACAUCCAUUACCAUCUCUUUUUGUCAGUGGGACUAUUGUUUUUCUCCCCAAAAUGGACCCAAAGAUGCCUUUAUCUCCAGGGCUGUUAAAUUCUGGUUGAAAUUUUCCAAUUCAUGGAAUUAAUUAAGUGAUUUUGAUUUUCUGAACUCUACUAAUUAAACUAGGCUGUUCUUAUUUUUUAAAUAGAUUUAAUGGAUUAGGUGAUUCCAUUCAAUUCAUUCAUUCGGUGUUGUUUUUUUGUUGGAUACUUGCAUAAUGUUAAUUAAUUAAUUAAUUAAGUUAUGUGAGGUUACAUAUGCAAUGCAUAUGUAACCUCACAUAACUAGGUGUAAUCUUCACCUUGAAUAGGUUUUCAUUCUUGACUCAUGAUUAUGCACACCAAUUGUUUGUUUAGAUGAGAACAAACUUAAGCAUAGCAGCUCAUUUGAAUUCAUACAAGUAUUACAAGAAGAUCCUUUAAAUUACUGUGUUGGAGCUAGCAAAACAGAAAAUGAUUAUUUUGCAGAUUAGAUUGAGCAACACAGAAGUGAAAAAAAAUAGCUGCUUUCCUUAAAAGUAGUGAGUAAUAAAACCCGGUUUCUAGUUGACCAAGCAACGAGCGUUAACGGAUGUCGAAAAAACUCGUGUUAAAACAGCGAAAUCUUACUGUUCUCUAUCUAGCGGCGAUAAAAAGGUUUUUUUUUUUCUUCUUAGUUUGGACAUUUGGACAUAGGUCACUUUAGGUCAGGUAAACCAAGUUCCAGACUGGACGGUGACGACCAAAUUUUGAUAAGUUUAUGGUUUUGAAGUUAAAAACUAAAAAAAUCACAAAUACUUCAUGUGUACUGUCAAAUAGAAAUGGAUCACCGUUGGAUUUUGACCAUCGACCAACACAUUUGGCAUUGCUUUGCUGAAAAGUUUGUAUUUCUUUGAAAAGUAAAUGAUUAAUUUAAGUUAAAGAUUUAGUAUGUUCUGUUGUUUUUGUUUAAAUUGUUGUAAAUUGGUUACAAACUAAAAAAACACUUGUAUUAUCAACAUUCCGUGUAAUUCGUCGUAGAUUCAAUACCACUACCAUUAGGUCUACACCGAAUAGUCGACGUGAGACUGAUAGAUUGAAUUACCGAGUUUUUAUUAGUUUCGUUUUUUGUUGUUGUUGAAACUAACAAUCUUAGAUAAUUUUCUAAACAAACUAGUCAAUUCAAAAACAUUAUUUAUUAAAUUGAAAGUAAGAUGUAUUUUGCUCUUGAACUUAAAUUCGAUUAUCAGCGUAGAAUUUGUUUGUUGUUACCAGUCACGAUAAUUGUAUAAUAUCUUAGGUCAAAUAACCUCCUGGAAGAUAUCUAGAUCUUCGUUCAUUUACUAUUUCUUCUACGAUAGAUCACUUGACGUUUGAUAACAUUGCAGUCUAAUGAAUUUACCUCCUGCGUAGAUCCAAGGUAGCCAUAACGGGUUGAUUGUUUGGAGAUUCACGUCGCUCAUUAAAUGAUGCAAAGUAGGCAGUGGUCGAGUUAUUUGAUCUGGAUGUUGAUUGAGGAGCCAAAAGAAAAAUGGUAUUGGGAUGCCACAGGAUACAAAACGGAUAUAUGCUACAAGAAGCACUAAAGUGAAUCAGGCGACGGAAAACGAGAAGCAACUGUCCUUGUUUGCCCGAUUGGCAUCCAUUGCUAGACAUAAUUUUUUCGACGAUAAUCUUGGGAGAAGAGAUUCGUGGCUUCGAUCGGAACCACCGUUUACAGAUGGUUCCACCAACGUGCAUGGUCGCCGAACUUGGUGGUUUUGUGCGAUACGUUUGUCUAAGUGGCAGAUAGAACGGCUAAUAAUUUAAAUCUCACUUGGGAUAAUCUACUUCUCGGACAAGUACUUUGAGGCCGGAAUUAAUUGAGUCCACUUUGCAUAUGGCUUCUUCGUGGGGUGUGUUAAUUCGAAUCAUUAGCGCCGAAGAACCUUUCAUGGAAGCUGAUUUCGGUGAGACGCAAGUGUUGAUUCGUCUGAUGGUCGAUUAUGCCAACAUGGCAGCGAAGAAACAUGCCUUGCUCAAUCGGAUUGAAAUCGCGACGUCGGAAGAAGAGCGUAUUCUUCUGGAAGAACUGUCCAGUCGCAACCAGUAUGUUGCCACGCUACUGCCUAUUUGCGCCGUCGGUGUUCAGGAAGAUUGCCGAACUUAUAGCUACUGCGUAGCACUGAGCUCUGAUCAGACACAACCAAACUGGAAUGAUCUAGCUACCUACGCCCGCUUAAUGGCGCGUGUGUGCCAUAAUGUCGAUCGUGUUUGCUACAUAUUCAGAAAGGCUGUGCGUGACAAACGUUACAUCUACCUACUUAACGAGUAACAUUUUGGCGACUUUGAGCGAUUCGAGUCAACGCAUUCCAUCAUGCCAACGAUCAGUCGUUUUUCGACCAUUUCUUUCACAGGAUUUUACGACUGGACUUCCUACAAUUCCUGAUACCCAUUUGCCCCAAGAGGUUGUAGACAAGAUGGUUGAAACCGUCUUAUCUGUGUCAGGAAUUUCCAGAGUCUUGUAUGACCUGACGGUGAAACAACCCGGGAAAACGGAGUGGGAAUAAUUUUAUUUACGAACGUUGCGUAGGCAAAUGAUUUCCGCACUCUUCAUAGGACACGGAUACGGAGUUGUAUCAUUGGCCAGAUUUAUAUGGGAAAUAUUAUAAACAGUGUAUUCAGCAUAGACUUUUGAAAUUGAAAAAUCAAUCAGCUUUGUCAUUUCGUGAAAAUCUCCUAACCCGCUUCUUAAGAGGAGUUCACGUGAUGACUUGUUGACUAUUCCUUAAAUAUUCAUGCACACUUGUUGGAAAUAAUGGGUGCAUUUGUUUUUCGUCGAACAAAUUAAACAUUUUAAUGUGUAGCUAGGUUGGUUGUUGUUUCUCUCCCUUGUAGAACUACUCUUUUUCGCCUAAUUGUUUAUCUAAUUCUUUUGGAACGCUCGGAGGUCGUCCAAAACAAGCGUAAGGUCAUUUGAUGCGUUAUGCCAUUUCCUGAAAUUGAACAUUCAGAAAAUGUGUUUGUUCGCAAAAGGUUAAGAUCUAUUCAGAUUUGUACCAUAAAGUAUGACUGUCGGAAAGGGUACGUAGGCUUCUAAAAGUGAAGAAGAGCUUUGAAGUCUUUGGUAAGCGAAAAGGUACUGCAAAGGGAAGCGUCGCAUGACAGUUUCAUGGAUGGACUCUUUCCUUUGCUUUGCCCUAUGAUUCUGUGCUUUGAACUGGCAGAUGGCGUUUAGCAGUGGCACCCAAUUUUUAUCUUAAAAGCCAGAGGUGUUAUUCACUUUUCAGGGGAAUUGAUUGAUGAUACUUGUUGAUUAAACCAUGAACAAUACCAAUAGAUGGAUAAGUGGAGGGUUAUUGAAGUAUAAAACUAAUUUCUCAUGGCAUUUCCAUUCACGCAUGUGGGACAGUUCGUGAGCAGACGAACCAUUGAAAGAGCCUUGCGCAGUCUAGUUGCAUCCAGCCAGAUACUAGUAGAACCCAAAACAUUGUCUUGACAAGUACUGCCAUAUUUCGGUUGCAGGUUUUCAGUAAAUACCAAGGAAGGUUUGGUAGCUAUUAUUCCGUGUUUUUCUUGCUUUCAACACUGCAGGCUGGUCCUACGAGCUACGAAAGUUUUACCUACAAAUGUUUAGCGUUUCGUGCUGCAACUAGUAGUUGAUAUUCAAGGAUGUUAUGCCUAAAAUUGGAAUUCAGCUAUCAGAGAUUAGCAAAAUUCAAACGGAAACUCUAGAUGGCGUUGAUGUGCGUCUAUGAUGAAGAUUAUGAGUCACAAGUUAAAUGGGUGUUUGUUACGUUACCCUGUUAUGUGUUUCAAAGGAUUUUUCGUCAAAAAUUUUACGAUUGCUUUUUGUAUGUGGGGGUGUUGCGCCUUGUCAGCUAUGCCAGCUGCUGAACCAGUAGCCUGCAUUCCUGCUAUCAAUGUACCACAAGUGAUCCUGACACUUUAAGAAGACAAUUAUUGCUUACAUGAAGAUCACCAUCCAGUUCAAGUACUGUUAAUGGACCUCAAGCCAUUCGUUUAAGCUUAGGGAUGUGUUCUCUCACCAGUCAACGACAGUCUUCAUCUACUUUUGUUGCUAACCAUCAGCCUUCAGCAUCCCAGGUAUCCAGAUUUCCAAGUUUCUCUGAUUAGUUAACCAUCAUCCAUACCCUUCAGCUCUUCAUUGUGGCUUCUCUUCCUCUCAUCUUAGUCUGCUGAAUGCCAACAUUGAAUAACGUUCAUCAUCAUUACCUUUCCAUGAAAAUCUUCAUUUUUUAUCCUGCGGUUCUUCUCACCGUUACUUAGCCAGCUCACAUGGAUAGGGUUUAACAACAACUCCAUUUUUUGGACUGCAAAUAUUAAUUUUCUUUCGGUACAACACUGCCGUUUUGACAAUUUCGGGAGUUUCGCCCCCAGUGAACCAAACGCAACUACAUUUUCUUCGUCUUCCUGUCGUUGUUGGCUACGACUUCACCUCAUCGCUGUCUUCGUUGACGUCUUCGCCUUCAUCUCCGUCUCGUCGUCUUGGUCGUCUUCGCCUUCAUCUCCGUCUCGUUGUCUUGGUCGUCUUCGCCUUCAUCUCCGUCUCGUCGUUUUCGCCGUCUUUGUCUACGCCAUCACCUUGUCGCCGGCUUCUCCUUCACCCUUUACAAGGGAAUUCACCGUGGAUCGUCGCUCUGGUAUUGUUUUAUUUUGCAUUGUAAUUGUUAAGUUAACCCGUUGGCUGCCACCCCGUUUGCGUCCCAUUUUUGUUGUAGCUUGUAGGGACCGGCCGCAAUGGCCUUCGCCGCAAGGCGCCUUAGG